AGUGAACGCUGGCGGUAGGCCUAACGCAUGCAAGUCGAACGGCAGCACAGUAAGAGCUUGCUCUUACGGGUGGCGAGUGGCGGACGGGUGAGGAAUACAUCGGAAUCUACUUUUUCGUGGGGGAUAACGUAGGGAAACUUACGCUAAUACCGCAUACGACCUACGGGUGAAAGCAGGGGAUCUUCGGACCUUGCGCGAUUGAAUGAGCCGAUGUCGGAUUAGCUAGUUGGCGGGGUAAAGGCCCACCAAGGCGACGAUCCGUAGCUGGUCUGAGAGGAUGAUCAGCCACACUGGAACUGAGACACGGUCCAGACUCCUACGGGAGGCAGCAGUGGGGAAUAUUGGACAAUGGGCGCAAGCCUGAUCCAGCCAUACCGCGUGGGUGAAGAAGGCCUUCGGGUUGUAAAGCCCUUUUGUUGGGAAAGAAAAGCAGCAGGUUAAUACCCCGCUGUUCUGACGGUACCCAAAGAAUAAGCACCGGCUAACUUCGUGC
This 493-nucleotide ribosomal RNA is filed under the name uncultured bacterium. RNAcentral describes it as "partial 16S ribosomal RNA". It matches the Rfam family "Bacterial small subunit ribosomal RNA", at positions 29 to 508 of the family's 1533-position model. The record is from RNAcentral.